CACAGCUGAACCAGAAGGAUGAGUAGGAUUCAGUCCAAAGAAGGGGGAGAAAGUGGGUGAGGCUAAAGGAAAGUAUGCCAGGCAGAGAGCCGUGUUUACACAGCCUCCCCAGUGCGUAUGGCAGUGUGCGGAGCCGCGAGAUGGAGGCGAAGGAUGUGGCUGGGAAAGAAGGCAGAAUUCUGAUCAUCGAGGGCCUGGGGGAACAUAAGAAGGAGAAGAGGAUCCAUUUUUAGGGAUAGUUUGAACUUUGAUGGAGGCCAACGCUUGAGAAAAGGAACUCUUUGGGAAUGAACCCCUGUGUGCCUCCCAGUUGUCUCCCUGUCAGUUUCCACAGCCGCCUGCCUGACGGAGAGGGAAGGUUUCUAAAGAGGGAAAACUCAAGGAGCUAUUUGCUGGCACCCCUGAGGAACUUUGGGAGCACAGAUUAUUCUGAGCUGUCUUUGAGCUCAGUCAUCCUUUGCUCUCAGAAGACCAGACAGGAGCCAGAUGAGAAAGAGCUAGAGAUGCUUUGUCAGCUUCUUACUGUUCAGGCCACCAGGAAGAGAGAGAGGACAGCCGGUCCCUCUGAGAUCAAACUCCAGAAACUGCCGCACUGGUACAUUUUGUGCUCACAACAACUGAACUGGUUAAACAACUGCCUGACCCUGGGAUUGCUGGCCGGGAGCCCAGGCCCAGCUGCUCAUGGGAAGAUCUAGCUAAAGCCAAGUGGAGAUGGAGGCGUUGCCUCUGAGUCCUUUCUGAUGCAGGUUUGGAUGAAGGCUCACACACAUGACCACAUUCGUCCCUUGAUCCAGUGGCUCUCAGCCUGGCUGCCCAACAGGACCUUGGCAGUGCUCUCAAUUGCCCAAGUGGGAGCCAAAAGCACAUGCAGCAGCUCCCUGGGGGAAGACCACCGCAGCGGUGCACAACCGAGGCUGAAAAUGACCUGCCUGCAUAACAUGAAGGGUCCACUUCAUGCUUGGGACAUAACCCUGGCUACUCUGCCACUGCAGCUUGUUUUAAAAUGGACAUGGGGGGGCUGUGGUUGUGGCUCAGCAGUAGAGCGCUCACCUAGCAUGUGCAAGGCCCUGGGUUCGGUCCUCAGCACCACAUAAA
This 1095-nucleotide transfer RNA is filed under the name Ictidomys tridecemlineatus (thirteen-lined ground squirrel). Its description in RNAcentral is "lncRNA (ENSSTOG00000031868.1)". Lineage: Eukaryota; Metazoa; Chordata; Mammalia; Rodentia; Sciuridae. The record is from RNAcentral.